AAAUAAACCCGAUUGAAGUGGACAUUCCGAUCCUUCAUCGGAAUAAAACGGAAAGCGGGACUGAAA
RNAcentral lists this small RNA (66 nucleotides) under Pedobacter alluvionis. RNAcentral's name for it is "Flavo-1 RNA". It matches the Rfam family "Flavo-1 RNA". Lineage: Bacteria; Pseudomonadati; Bacteroidota; Sphingobacteriia; Sphingobacteriales; Sphingobacteriaceae. The record is from RNAcentral.